This 387-nucleotide unclassified non-coding RNA is filed under the name uncultured fungus. Its description in RNAcentral is "partial contains small subunit ribosomal RNA, internal transcribed spacer 1, and 5.8S ribosomal RNA". The stretch from base 1 to 73 matches the Rfam family "Eukaryotic small subunit ribosomal RNA", at positions 1759 to 1831 of the family's 1831-position model. The record is from RNAcentral. Lineage: Eukaryota; Fungi.
ACAAACUUGGUCAUUUAGAGGAAGUAAAAGUCGUAACAAGGUUUCCGUAGGUGAACCUGCGGAAGGAUCAUUAUUGAAGUUGAAUGUGUGCAGGGGUUGUCGCUGGCUCUUCGGGGCAUGUGCACGCCCUUGUACUUUACAUUUCAUCUUCCCUUUGUGAACUGUUGGCGUAGUUCAAGGCUGACCCUUUCAAGUGCCCUUGUGGUAUAUCUUGGUUUGAAGACUGCGACCCGUUGCUUUCUUUGUAUUGACGCCUUGGGCUAUUGCACCCUUUAUAAACUCGUAUAACCUUUGAAUGUCUUGUUUACUAGGUCUUCUUGACCUGUGAAUCUAUAUACAACUUUCAGCAAUGGAUCUCUUGGCUCUGGCAUCGAUGAAGAACGCAGC